This 70-nucleotide transfer RNA is filed under the name Cervus nippon sichuanicus (Sichuan sika deer). RNAcentral describes it as "tRNA-Tyr". It matches the Rfam family "tRNA". Rfam says of the family: Transfer RNA (tRNA) molecules are approximately 80 nucleotides in length. RNAcentral also lists the same sequence under 1 other name. Lineage: Eukaryota; Metazoa; Chordata; Mammalia; Artiodactyla; Cervidae. The record is from RNAcentral.
GGUAGAAUGGCUGAGUGAAGCAUUAGACUGUAAAUCUAAAGACAGAGGUUUAAUAUCCCUCUUUUUACCA